Homalodisca vitripennis (glassy-winged sharpshooter) is the source of this 2207-nucleotide long non-coding RNA. RefSeq lists it as uncharacterized. The transcript has 10 exons. Lineage: Eukaryota; Metazoa; Arthropoda; Insecta; Hemiptera; Cicadellidae. The record is from RefSeq and is a predicted model, not a curated record.
UUAUAGGUAGAAAAAGGUAGAAAAAAUGAGCAAGGAGGAGAAGUGAAAGUGUUAUAGUAAGGGUGGUACACAGAAGAGAUAUUGAAAUAAGGAAGUGAGAUGACCUCUGUAUAUUCUAGUGUCGGAAAUACAAGCGGUAAGCCAAAAGUUGCCAGUAAAGUAGAAAGAUGUGGGAUCUCAUUUGGAAAGAAAGCAGAUAAAAUCCUGUGGAAGGAGCAUGUCACAAGAAAAAGAAGGUAGAAAAAAUGAGAAAGGAGGAGAAGUGAAAGUGUUAUAGUAAGGGUGGUACACAGAAGAGAUAUUGAAAUAAGGAAGUGAGAUGACCUCUGUAUAUUCUAGUGUCGGAAAUACAAGCGGUAAGCCAAAAGUUGCCAGUAAAGUAGAAAGAUGUGGGAUCUCAUUUGGAAAGAAAGCAGAUAAAAUCCUGUGGAAGGAGCAUGUCACAAGAAAAAGAAGGUAGAAAAAAUGAGAAAGGAGGAGAAGUGAAAGUGUUAUAGUAAGGGUGGUACACAGAAGAGAUAUUGAAAUAAGGAAGUGAGAUGACCUCUGUAUAUUCUAGUGUCGGAAAUACAAGCGGUAAGCCAAAAGUUGCCAGUAAAGUAGAAAGAUGUGGGAUCUCAUUUGGAAAGAAAGCAGAUAAAAUCCUGUGGAAGGAGCAUGUCACAAGAAAAAGAAGGUAGAAAAAAUGAGAAAGGAGGAGAAGUGAAAGUGUUAUAGUAAGGGUGGUACACAGAAGAGAUAUUGAAAUAAGGAAGUGAGAUGACCUCUGUAUAUUCUAGUGUCGGAAAUACAAGCGGUAAGCCAAAAGUUGCCAGUAAAGUAGAAAGAUGUGGGAUCUCAUUUGGAAAGAAAGCAGAUAAAAUCCUGUGGAAGGAGCAUGUCACAAGAAAAAGAAGGUAGAAAAAAUGAGAAAGGAGGAGAAGUGAAAGUGUUAUAGUAAGGGUGGUACACAGAAGAGAUAUUGAAAUAAGGAAGUGAGAUGACCUCUGUUUAUUCUAGUGUCGGAAAUACAAGCGGUAAGCCAAAAGUUGCCAGUAAAGUAGAAAGAUGUGGGAUCUCAUUUGGAAAGAAAGCAGAUAAAAUCCUGUGGAAGGAGCAUGUCACAAGAAAAAGAAGGUAGAAAAAAUGAGAAAGGAGGAGAAGUGAAAGUGUUAUAGUAAGGGUGGUACACAGAAGAGAUAUUGAAAUAAGGAAGUGAGAUGACCUCUGUAUAUUCUAGUGUCGGAAAUACAAGCGGUAAGCCAAAAGUUGCCAGUAAAGUAGAAAGAUGUGGGAUCUCAUUUGGAAAGAAAGCAGAUAAAAUCCUGUGGAAGGAGCAUGUCACAAGAAAAAGAAGGUAGAAAAAAUGAGAAAGGAGGAGAAGUGAAAGUGUUAUAGUAAGGGUGGUACACAGAAGAGAUAUUGAAAUAAGGAAGUGAGAUGACCUCUGUUUAUUCUAGUGUCGGAAAUACAAGCGGUAAGCCAAAAGUUGCCAGUAAAGUAGAAAGAUGUGGGAUCUCAUUUGGAAAGAAAGCAGAUAAAAUCCUGUGGAAGGAGCAUGUCACAAGAAAAAGAAGGUAGAAAAAAUGAGAAAGGAGGAGAAGUGAAAGUGUUAUAGUAAGGGUGGUACACAGAAGAGAUAUUGAAAUAAGGAAGUGAGAUGACCUCUGUAUAUUCUAGUGUCGGAAAUACAAGCGGUAAGCCAAAAGUUGCCAGUAAAGUAGAAAGAUGUGGGAUCUCAUUUGGAAAGAAAGCAGAUAAAAUCCUGUGGAAGGAGCAUGUCACAAGAAAAAGAAGGUAGAAAAAAUGAGAAAGGAGGAGAAGUGAAAGUGUUAUAGUAAGGGUGGUACACAGAAGAGAUAUUGAAAUAAGGAAGUGAGAUGACCUCUGUAUAUUCUAGUGUCGGAAAUACAAGCGGUAAGCCAAAAGUUGCCAGUAAAGUAGAAAGAUGUGGGAUCUCAUUUGGAAAGAAAGCAGAUAAAAUCCUGUGGAAGGAGCAUGUCACAAGAAAAAGAAGGUAGAAAAAAUGAGCAAGGAGGAGAAGUGAAAGUGUUAUAGUAAGGGUGGUACACAGAAGAGAUAUUGAAAUAAGGAAGUGAGAUGACCUCUGUAUAUUCUAGUGUCGGAAAUACAAGCGGUAAGCCAAAAGUUGCCAGUAAAGUAGAAAGAUGUGGGAUCUCAUUUGGAAAGAAAGCAGAUAAAAUCCUGUGGAAGGAGCAUGUCACAAG